CCGAAUUCGUCGACCCUUAAAGUGAUCCUGGCUCAGAAUCAACGCUGGCGGCGUGCCUCAGACAUGCAAGUCGAACGCGAAAGUCCCCUUCGGGGGACAAGUAGAGUGGCGCACGGGUGAGUAACACGUAGGUAAUCUACCUUUGGAUGGGGAAUAACAACCGGAAACGGUUGCUAAUACCGCAUAAUGCAGCGGCACCUAAUGGUGACAGUUGUUAAAGCGGGGGAUCGUAAGACCUCGCGUCUGAAGAGGAGCCUGCGGCAGAUUAGCUAGUUGGUAGGGUAACGGCUUACCAAGGCGAUGAUCUGUAGCCGGCCUGAGAGGGCGGUCGGCCACACUGACACUGACAUACGGGUCAGACUCCUACGGGAGGCAGCAGUCGGGAAUUUUGGGCAAUGGGCGAAAGCCUGACCCAGCAACGCCGCGUGAAGGAUGAAAUCCUUCGGGAUGUAAACUUCGCAAGAACGGGAAGAAUAAGUAAGAGCUAACAUCUCUUAUGAUGACGGUACUGUUUGUAAGCUCCGGCUAACUCCGUGCCAGCAGCCGCGGUAAUACGGGGGGAGCAAGCGUUGUUCGGAUUUACUGGGCGUAAAGGGCGGGUAGGCGGCCACUGCAAGUCGGUUGUGAAAUCUCCGGGCUUAACCCGGAAAGGUCAAUCGAUACUGCAGGGCUAGAGUGCAGAAGGGGCAACUGGAAUUCUCGGUGUAGCGGUGAAAUGCGUAGAUAUCGAGAGGAACACCUGCGGCGAAGGCGGGUUGCUGGGCUGACACUGACGCUGAACUGCGAAAGCUAGGGGAGCGAACGGGAUUAGAUACCCCGGUAGUCCUAGCCUUAAACGAUGAAUGCUUGGUGUCUGGGGUUUUAUAGUCCCCGGGUGCCGUCGCUAACGCUUUAAGCAUUCCGCCUGGGGGAGUACGGGCGCAAGACUGGAACUCAAAGGGAUUGGACGGGGACCCGCACAAGGCGGGGGAACAUGGUGGGUUUUAUUUCGACGCCAACGCGAAAAAACCUUAACCGGGGGCUUAAAAUGGCCUCUGGAACGGCCCCUAAGAGAAAAGGGGGGCUUUCCGGGG
RNAcentral lists this ribosomal RNA (1073 nucleotides) under uncultured bacterium. Its description in RNAcentral is "bacterial SSU rRNA". It matches the Rfam family "Bacterial small subunit ribosomal RNA", at positions 1 to 1025 of the family's 1533-position model. The record is from RNAcentral.